Molecule: long non-coding RNA, 1399 nt
Organism: Carassius auratus (goldfish)
Lineage: Eukaryota; Metazoa; Chordata; Actinopteri; Cypriniformes; Cyprinidae
Exons: 4
Source: RefSeq, a predicted model, not a curated record
GCCUCCUGUAACUACUAGUAGGCUCAGAAGGCCGUGAUCAUCCAUCCAAAUGGUUGAUCACCCACAAAUAUACAAGAGAAGACUCCAGAUCCAAUCCCAGAAUUCCUGCUCACCGGUAAUCGGAAGUCUACUGGACGAUUGCGGGAAUGUUGCGAUAUUUCCUGCUUAAUAUUUUCAGAUAUGGGAAAAGCACUUAAGAUGAGCACACGUUUCAGGAACGUUAAAAUUAAGCUGGUGAGGAGGUCUAUGGUGGGCCCUGCAAGUUUUCUUACCUCAGUCAAGGUCUUCCCUAGCCCAGCUACAAACAGACCCACCCUUCAGACGCUAUUACAUCUCAACCUGCUGAACCUGAUGAUGCGACACAGAGCUGUUCUGAGAGCGCAUACAGUAAGGCAAAGAAGAGAGAGCUUCAUGCCUGGGAUGCAGUCAAGGAUGAGAUGCUUAAGAAUGUUUACUAUGAGCCAUCCUCCCUGGGGUUAUUCUUAUAUUUACCUGAAGCCCAUGGCACCCAUGCUGUGAACACAAAGGACAUGAAGAUCAUUGUCAGCACAGGUUUGUCAUUUUACCUGAUACAAAAUCUUAAUGUAUUUAAUUUUAUUGACAGGUUAAGGAAUUCAAUCCUAUUACAUGUGGAGUAAUGAUUUCCUUUAAGGAAUUAAUCAAAUUUGUGAUGCAAUAAAAAAAAAAAAGUCAUGAUAGUUAUAGUUUAUAUACUAUCAUGAUAGGUAAAAAUGUAUAGCCUGAAUCCACUGUAAGUCGCUUUGGAUAAAAGCGUCUGCUAAAUGCAUACAUUUAAUUUAAUUUAUACUGAUAUGUUAGUCUCUAUAGUACUACUAGGUUAUGUUUUUAUGUUAUUUUCCUCUUUAUAUUUGGCAGGACGGUUCUGCACCGUUACAGUCACCAUGUGUGCGUGUGAACCAGAAACCUGUACUCUGCUAAGAUAUGGGCUCUGAUUAGACAGCCUUCUCCAUCCCUCUGCUAGAGCUUUCUGUUUCUCUGUCACUGGAGUGUCAGGCGGAUGGAGAUAUGAUUGUCACAUUGGAUGCCAACUUUGGCCUUGUGAGGAAUCAAAGCUCUGGGACAAGUGCGGUUGAUCCAUUACACGGAACCCGCGUGUUUAGAGGAAUACCUGCUAUCACAUCUUGACAGCUCAAAGCCUCGAGGUGAAAACUUGUGAAAAAAGAUCACUAUUCCUCUCAUAAAUCUAUGUUUUCCUUAAAUAUUUAGGACUGCAGUAAGCUGCUCUCAUUCAAGGUAUUAUAAUAUAAUAUAAUAUAAUUACUUUACUGCGUUACUUGUGCAGACAUGUUGUUUUACUAGGUCUGAUCUAUUUUAAAGCUUAGGCACUGUAUUUAAGCAUACAUAUACACCACUAGUCUGUCUGUAUGAGUACAAAAUU